GAUAAGAAAUAAUCCACCGCCUGCAUUUCAGUUCCCCGGGUUCAGUUCCAGCGGCAGCCAGCUGGCUGCAAAAAUUGCUUUGCUAUUCGAGAUAGCCAGCAGAGGGAAUCGGAACUUUGCUUGCAGCAGGGGUUGAAGCAGCCUUUUUUUUUUUUUUUUUUUUUUUUUUUCUUGGAGGAAAUACUGCAGCCUUCUGGACUGCGUACGCUGCUCCCUGGAGAGGCUCUCUCGGUUCCACCCACCGGCUGGAAGGAGGGGAAGUGAAUGAAAGGACAGGACAAGCCCCGAACACCAUGUCACUCUGGGAGGGAGACAGCAGCAACUAAGCUGUGCGAGGUUUUUUUUUUUUUUUUUUCCUUUUUCUUUUUCCCUUUCUUUUUCUUUCUUUUUUUUUUCUUUUUUCUGUUUCUUCUUUCUUUCUCUUUCUCUUUCUUUCUUUUUUUUUUCUUUUUCUUUAAGGUGGGGAAAGAGACAAACAGGAGACAGGAAGCUGAUCUGCAAGGAUUCGGAGUUGUGCUAAAAGGACUUUGAUUUUUUUUUUCUCUCUCUCUCUUUACAAACGCUGGCAAUUGACAUCACUACAGACAGCCUGGUAGAGAACAAACUGCCUCAUCCCAAGUGGACCCUGGCAGCUGGGGGAAGGAAGGCAAGAUCUGGGGAGGCUGUGUCUGUUGGUCUUUUUUCCUACCGAUACCCCUCCUUUUUUUUUUUUUUUUUUUUUUGGUGUGUUUCUUUUUUAAAUUCUUGCUGUGUUGGAACUAGCGAGUGGUGGAAGACGAGGGAUUUCUGAAGCCUCAUCAGUCAUCGAGACUGUCAGGAAUAGUGGUUUAAGAGGAAGCUCGGCCUGGGGCACUAUACCCUGUCAUCCAGUUCCCUGCCUCGGAGAUAAAGAUUCCAGCUACAUGGGCAAACGCCUGGAUCAGCCACAAAUGUACCCCCAGUACACUUACUACUAUCCUCACUAUCUCCAAACCAAGAUGAGGAAACUGAGGCACAGAGGAGUGAAGUAAAUCGCCCAGGUCACACACAUUAGUAAGUAAGCAAUGGAGCUGAGAUUAAGUCAGGCCAUUGGGACUCCAAAUCCCAUCGUCUCCACCGUGUGAUGCCAGGCAGUGAACUGCUUCUCACUGGUAUGCAAUAAAUACAGAAAUUGAGAACAAGUCGGUCGUGUCAGCGGUCAUGUCUCAUUGAACAAAGUACAGACCCGUCUGAGUGUUGUGAAAGUGGGGUGGAAUUGCAUGCGAUACGAGCCGUGUAUGAGCCGUGAACUGUAGGACCACACACCAACCCAUGAUGGAUUGGGAGGGAGAUGGUCCUUCACCUCAGAUAGUGCCAAAAGCACAGCCCUGAACCAUAUGCUGUGCUUCCAGAGAUGACACAAGGUAGUAAAUCUCCUCUCCCUUGUCUCUUGAUAUUCCACAUGAUACAUCAUAUGCGCAAAGUGUCAUUUGUCAUUUGCCUUGUGUCUUACCUCUUGGGACUGUGAAGGAAGUAAGUGUGAGAGAAAGGUCCAUAAGGGGAAGAGGUCAUUUGACCUCCUGCUCUCUGCUAACACUGCCAAGUAGCCCUUUGGGUUCCAUAGUAUGACGGUCACUUUCCUGCUGCCAUCUUGCGACCCCUCUAGACAUUGUGAGUCUAUGGGAGAAGCAAGGUUGGAUAAGUGUAAAUACCUACCGACUUCAUGUCUGGUCAAGUGGGCUAGAAGACUUGAACAUGGUGUCAGUUGGACCAUUGGUAUGCACUGCCUUUCUCUCUCUACGAAGACAGUAACUGAGUCUUCUAGCCACAACCUACCAGUGUGGAGAAAUGGGAUUGAUAAUGAGGUUUGAAUGGAUUCUCAUAAUGUCACCUCCAUGGGGUAGGGGACAGGGAGAUGUGUUAUUUUGAAAAAAGUAUGAAAGGAACUGAAGUAAUGUUUUUGUUCUUUUUUUUUUAAUUUUAUGUAGCAAAUCAGUGCCAGCAGCACCUUGUCCAGAAAUCUUUAUCUUUUAAUCCAAUAUAACCCUUAAA
Acinonyx jubatus (cheetah) is the source of this 2010-nucleotide long non-coding RNA. RefSeq lists it as uncharacterized. The transcript has 2 exons. The record is from RefSeq and is a predicted model, not a curated record. Lineage: Eukaryota; Metazoa; Chordata; Mammalia; Carnivora; Felidae.